GGCUCCUUGGGAAGUUAGCCCGCGCCGUGGGACCGAGAUGUGGGGGUCCUCCGCCAACCCCUGUCCUCUGGCGGGGGUCCUCACCCCAGCCCGUCCUGACCACGCCUAGGGCAGGACUGCAGCCCCUCGUCCCCGUCCAUCCCUGGAAGGGACAGGGGCAGUUUCAAAACGGAAGCGGAGCGUGUCUCCUCCAGGCCGGGCUUGCUGGCUGUCCGGAACAUGGGACACUGGUUUCACAGUAACCGUUGAGUAACUUUUGAAGGGGAAGAGAGUCUUAGCUCCUCCUGCGUUGCAACACAGUGAUAAUUUCUGACUUCACUCUCAUAGUGUGGGCUUGAUAACUUCACCUGAUGGUUUAUUCUCAUUUCGGUCUCCUGGAGGAGGCCUCUGUCCUUAGGAAGUUGCAGUCUGCAAGGAGAAACAGUGACAGUGACUUCAGUACAAAGGCAUCCUGUGAUAUGUGUCCCAGGCAUGUCACAGACAAAGGACUGGAAUUUCAAGGCUGUUGA
Molecule: long non-coding RNA, 509 nt
Filed under: Fukomys damarensis (Damara mole-rat)
Lineage: Eukaryota; Metazoa; Chordata; Mammalia; Rodentia; Bathyergidae
Description: lncRNA (ENSFDAG00000032035.1)
Source: RNAcentral